Molecule: ribosomal RNA, 2989 nt
Filed under: Salmonella enterica subsp. enterica serovar Agona
Lineage: Bacteria; Pseudomonadati; Pseudomonadota; Gammaproteobacteria; Enterobacterales; Enterobacteriaceae
Description: 23S ribosomal RNA
Rfam family: Bacterial large subunit ribosomal RNA
Source: RNAcentral
GGUUAAGCGACUAAGCGUACACGGUGGAUGCCCUGGCAGUCAGAGGCGAUGAAGGGCGUGCUAAUCUGCGAUAAGCGCCGGUAAGGUGAUAUGAACCGUUAUAACCGGCGAUACCCGAAUGGGGAAACCCAGUGUGACUCGUCACACUAUCAUUAACUGAAUCCAUAGGUUAAUGAGGCGAACCGGGGGAACUGAAACAUCUAAGUACCCCGAGGAAAAGAAAUCAACCGAGAUUCCCCCAGUAGCGGCGAGCGAACGGGGAGGAGCCCAGAGCCUGAAUCAGCAUGUGUGUUAGUGGAAGCGUCUGGAAAGGCGCGCGAUACAGGGUGACAGCCCCGUACACAAAAGCGCAUGUGCUGUGAGCUCGAUGAGUAGGGCGGGACACGUGGUAUCCUGUCUGAAUAUGGGGGGACCAUCCUCCAAGGCUAAAUACUCCUGACUGACCGAUAGUGAACCAGUACCGUGAGGGAAAGGCGAAAAGAACCCCGGCGAGGGGAGUGAAAAAGAACCUGAAACCGUGUACGUACAAGCAGUGGGAGCACAGGUUUACCUGUGUGACUGCGUACCUUUUGUAUAAUGGGUCAGCGACUUAUAUUCUGUAGCAAGGUUAACCGUAUAGGGGAGCCGCAGGGAAACCGAGUCUUAACCGGGCGUUAAGUUGCAGGGUAUAGACCCGAAACCCGGUGAUCUAGUCAUGGGCAGGUUGAAGGUUGGGUAACACUAACUGGAGGACCGAACCGACUAAUGUUGAAAAAUUAGCGGAUGACCUGUGGCUGGGGGUGAAAGGCCAAUCAAACCGGGAGAUAGCUGGUUCUCCCCGAAAGCUAUUUAGGUAGCGCCUCGUGAAUUCAUCUCCGGGGGUAGAGCACUGUUUCGGCUAGGGGGCCAUCCCGGCUUACCAACCCGAUGCAAACUGCGAAUACCGGAGAAUGUUAUCACGGGAGACACACGGCGGGUGCUAACGUCCGUCGUGAAGAGGGAAACAACCCAGACCGCCAGCUAAGGUCCCAAAGUCAUGGUUAAGUGGGAAACGAUGUGGGAAGGCCCAGACAGCCAGGAUGUUGGCUUAGAAGCAGCCAUCAUUUAAAGAAAGCGUAAUAGCUCACUGGUCGAGUCGGCCUGCGCGGAAGAUGUAACGGGGCUAAACCAUGCACCGAAGCUGCGGCAGCGAACGUAUCACUUAAAGCGAUUCAGCGGGUUACGAUUGACGGAGCGAAGCGACGUCAAAGCGUAUACAAAGUCGAGUCGGUUUAAGGAUACGUUCGUUGGGUAGGGGAGCGUUCUGUAAGCCUGUGAAGGUGGCCUGUGAGGGUUGCUGGAGGUAUCAGAAGUGCGAAUGCUGACAUAAGUAACGAUAAAGCGGGUGAAAAGCCCGCUCGCCGGAAGACCAAGGGUUCCUGUCCAACGUUAAUCGGGGCAGGGUGAGUCGACCCCUAAGGCGAGGCCGAAAGGCGUAGUCGAUGGGAAACGGGUUAAUAUUCCCGUACUUGGUGUUACUGCGAAGGGGGGACGGAGAAGGCUAUGUUGGCCGGGCGACGGUUGUCCCGGUUUAAGCGUGUAGGUGUGUGUUCCAGGUAAAUCCGGUUCACUUUAACACUGAGGCGUGAUGACGAGGCACUACGGUGCUGAAGCAACAAAUGCCCUGCUUCCAGGAAAAGCCUCUAAGCAUCAGGUAACAUCAAAUCGUACCCCAAACCGACACAGGUGGUCAGGUAGAGAAUACCAAGGCGCUUGAGAGAACUCGGGUGAAGGAACUAGGCAAAAUGGUGCCGUAACUUCGGGAGAAGGCACGCUGACACGUAGGUGAAGUGAUUUACUCAUGGAGCUGAAGUCAGUCGAAGAUACCAGCUGGCUGCAACUGUUUAUUAAAAACACAGCACUGUGCAAACACGAAAGUGGACGUAUACGGUGUGACGCCUGCCCGGUGCCGGAAGGUUAAUUGAUGGGGUCAGCGCAAGCGAAGCUCCUGAUCGAAGCCCCGGUAAACGGCGGCCGUAACUAUAACGGUCCUAAGGUAGCGAAAUUCCUUGUCGGGUAAGUUCCGACCUGCACGAAUGGCGUAAUGAUGGCCAGGCUGUCUCCACCCGAGACUCAGUGAAAUUGAACUCGCUGUGAAGAUGCAGUGUACCCGCGGCAAGACGGAAAGACCCCGUGAACCUUUACUAUAGCUUGACACUGAACAUUGAGCCUUGAUGUGUAGGAUAGGUGGGAGGCUUUGAAGUGUGGACGCCAGUCUGCAUGGAGCCGACCUUGAAAUACCACCCUUUAAUGUUUGAUGUUCUAACGUGGACCCGUAAUCCGGGUUGCGGACAGUGUCUGGUGGGUAGUUUGACUGGGGCGGUCUCCUCCUAAAGAGUAACGGAGGAGCACGAAGGUUGGCUAAUCCUGGUCGGACAUCAGGAGGUUAGUGCAAUGGCAUAAGCCAGCUUGACUGCGAGCGUGACGGCGCGAGCAGGUGCGAAAGCAGGUCAUAGUGAUCCGGUGGUUCUGAAUGGAAGGGCCAUCGCUCAACGGAUAAAAGGUACUCCGGGGAUAACAGGCUGAUACCGCCCAAGAGUUCAUAUCGACGGCGGUGUUUGGCACCUCGAUGUCGGCUCAUCACAUCCUGGGGCUGAAGUAGGUCCCAAGGGUAUGGCUGUUCGCCAUUUAAAGUGGUACGCGAGCUGGGUUUAGAACGUCGUGAGACAGUUCGGUCCCUAUCUGCCGUGGGCGCUGGAGAACUGAGGGGGGCUGCUCCUAGUACGAGAGGACCGGAGUGGACGCAUCACUGGUGUUCGGGUUGUCAUGCCAAUGGCACUGCCCGGUAGCUAAAUGCGGAAGAGAUAAGUGCUGAAAGCAUCUAAGCACGAAACUUGCCCCGAGAUGAGUUCUCCCUGAGACUUAGAGUCUCCUGAAGGAACGUUGAAGACGACGACGUUGAUAGGCCGGGUGUGUAAGCGCAGCGAUGCGUUGAGCUAACCGGUACUAAUGAACCGUGAGGCUUAACCUU